UGCAAUACUUUUGUAUUGAAUUGUACUGUUUGUUUAAACUGUUCGAUAAAGUUAGUUCAAACGCAUCACUUCCUGUUAGCCAGACCAGGAAGUGAAAGCCACAUGUCCACAGCGGUGAAUCAGUACAUGGAUCCACUCGCAUCUACACACAAAGACUGAUGAAUCAAUGUCUUGUUGAAGAUGCUUCACGUGGAUCGAAUGAAAAUCCAAGCACUUUCGACACGGUCCCACUUGACCGGCAUCUGGAGAUGGAGGAUUCGAUGGUGCAACACAGAGACAGGGAGGGAUGCAAGGUGUUGCAAGGUGGAUCUAAGCAAACGUGCCACUGCCUUUGUCUUGAAUGUACGGGAAAAAUUCCACCUCUUACAG
This is a long non-coding RNA of Anguilla rostrata (American eel), 369 nucleotides long. RefSeq lists it as uncharacterized. The record is from RefSeq and is a predicted model, not a curated record. NCBI's taxonomy places the organism in Eukaryota, Metazoa, Chordata, Actinopteri, Anguilliformes, Anguillidae. The transcript has 3 exons.